RNAcentral lists this transfer RNA (85 nucleotides) under Gammaproteobacteria bacterium. RNAcentral's name for it is "tRNA-Tyr". It matches the Rfam family "tRNA". Rfam says of the family: Transfer RNA (tRNA) molecules are approximately 80 nucleotides in length. The record is from RNAcentral. Lineage: Bacteria; Pseudomonadati; Pseudomonadota; Gammaproteobacteria.
GGAGGGGUACCGAAGUGGUCAAACGGGACGGACUGUAAAUUCGUUGGCUCAGCCUUCGCAGGUUCAAAUCCUGCCCCCUCCACCA